AUCGAGUACAGUACUCUCAUUUUGCGCAGUGUUAAGCAGCGCGGCUGCUGGAUGCCAACCGCGAACCUCUGUCACGUGCGGGAAGUCGUCUCGCCGCGUUCGAAGCGCAAUGCGCUAACCGUUGCGCCACCGCUCCACUUCCCCCCCCACCACCCACGGCCCCCCACCCCCCACAGCCCUCCUCCCCUUCCCCCCCCCAUCGCUGUUUCCUGCCGGGAACCGUGGAACGGCAACUGCGCAACUCUUUGAGUGAAUACGACACGAGCAGGGGACUCACUCACACACUCACUCAUGAGUCGUGACUGGCUCACACACUGGCGCACACACUGGCUGAUCCUGGCUCACACACUGGCUCACACACACUGGCUCACACUCACUCACACACUCACAUACACUCACACACCGGCUGAUACUGACUCACACUCACACACACAUCGACUGAUACUGGCUCACACACUGGCUCACACACACUGACUCACACUCUGACUCACACCGACUGAUACUGGCUCACUCACUGGCUCACACACACUCACACACACUCACACACACUCACACACCGACUGAUACUGGCUCACACACACUUACUCACACACUCACACACACUCACACGCCGACUGAUCCUGGCUCGCACACUGGCUCACACACUGGCUCACUCGUCGUGACCGGCUCACUGGAGGGGCGCCCGGCUCACACCGACUGUGUCGCGCCAAUCGCAGAGCCCCACGGAGAGUCACGGAGGAGGAGGAGCGGUGUGACAACGAGGAGUGACGACGAGGAGUGACGACGAGGAGUGACGACGAGGUGUGACGACGAGGUGUGACGACGAGGAGUGACGACGAGGUGUGAUCACGUGGUGUGACGACGAGUGACGAGAGGAAGCCUCCGCCCCUGGGCGUGAGGAAACGGGAAGCGCAGCACCCACGCCCCUGUUUCCUCCCCCCACCACGCUCCUGCACCCCCCCACGGACCCACCCCACGGACCCACCCCACGCACCUGCCCCCCACGCACCUGCCCCCCACGCACCUGCCCCCCCUCCACGCACCUGCCCCCCCACGCACCCCCCACGUUUCCCCCCCACACCACGCCCUGCUUCCUCCC
Lethenteron reissneri (Far Eastern brook lamprey) is the source of this 1099-nucleotide long non-coding RNA. RefSeq lists it as uncharacterized. The record is from RefSeq and is a predicted model, not a curated record. NCBI's taxonomy places the organism in Eukaryota, Metazoa, Chordata, Hyperoartia, Petromyzontiformes, Petromyzontidae.